Molecule: ribosomal RNA, 911 nt
Filed under: uncultured bacterium
Lineage: Bacteria
Description: bacterial SSU rRNA
Rfam family: Bacterial small subunit ribosomal RNA
Source: RNAcentral
UUAGAGUUUGAUCCUGGCUCAGGACGUACGCUGGCGGCGUGCUUAACACAUGCAAGUCGAACGAGAAUCUGUGGAUCGAGGAUUCGUCCAAGUGAAGCAGAGGACAGUGGCGGACGGGUGUGUAACGCGUGAGGAACCUGCCUUUCAGAGGGGGACAACAGUUGGAAACGACUGCUAAUACCGCAUGAUACAUUUGGGUGGCAUCAUCUGAAUGCCAAAGAUUUAUCGCUGAAAGAUGGCCUCGCGUCUGAUUAGCUAGUUGGUGAGGUAACGGCCCACCAAGGCGACGAUCAGUAGCCGGACUGAGAGGUUGACCGGCCACAUUGGGACUGAGAUACGGCCCAGACUCCUACGGGAGGCAGCAGUGGGGAAUAUUGGGCAAUGGGCGCAAGCCCGACCCAGCAACGCCGCGUGAAGGAAGAAGGCUUUCGGGUUGUAAACUUCUUUUGUCAGGGACGAGUAGAAGACGGUACCUGACGAAUAAGCCACGGCUAACUACGUGCCAGCAGCCGCGGUAAUACGUAGGUGGCAAACGUUGUCCGGAUUUACUGGGUGUAAAGGGCGUGUAGCCGGGAAGGCAAGUCAGAUGUGAAAUCCACGGGCUCAACUCGUGAACUGCAUUUGAAACUGUUUUUCUUGAGUAUCGGAGAGGCAAUCGGAAUUCCUAGUGUAGCGGUGAAAUGCGUAGAUAUUAGGAGGAACACCAGUGGCGAAGGCGGAUUGCUGGACGACAACUGACGGUGAGGCGCGAAAGCGUGGGGAGCAAACAGGAUUAGAUACCCUGGUAGUCCACGCUGUAAACGAUGAAUACUAGGUGUGCGGGGACUGACCCCCUGCGUGCCGCAGUUAACACAAUAAGUAUUCCACCUGGGGAGUACGAUCGCAAGGUUGAAACUCAAAGGAAUUGACGG